GUGCCAGCAGCCGCGGUAAUACGUAGGGUGCAAGCGUUAAUCGGAAUUACUGGGCGUAAAGCGUGCGCAGGCGGUUUUGUAAGUCUGUCGUGAAAGCCCCGGGCUUAACCUGGGAAUUGCGAUGGAGACUGCAAGGCUUGAAUCUGGCAGAGGGGGGUAGAAUUCCACGUGUAGCAGUGAAAUGCGUAGAGAUGUGGAGGAACACCGAUGGCGAAGGCAGCCCCCUGGGUCAAGAUUGACGCUCAUGCACGAAAGCGUGGGGAGCAAACAGGAUUAGAUAC
RNAcentral lists this ribosomal RNA (281 nucleotides) under uncultured Burkholderiales bacterium. Its description in RNAcentral is "partial 16S ribosomal RNA". It matches the Rfam family "Bacterial small subunit ribosomal RNA", at positions 505 to 785 of the family's 1533-position model. Lineage: Bacteria; Pseudomonadati; Pseudomonadota; Betaproteobacteria; Burkholderiales. The record is from RNAcentral.